CCCAGUGAUAGUUAAUUUAACGGCCGCGGUAUAUUGACCGUGCGAAGGUAGCAUAAUAAUUUGUUCUUUAAUUGAGGACUAGUAUGAAUGGUUGAACAAAAAGCUAACUGUCUCUAAAAUAAAUCUUGAAAUUAACGUUUAAGUGAAAAGGCUUAAGUGCUUUAAGGGGACGAUAAGACCCUAUAAAUCUUUAUAUUUGGAGUUUGUUAAUUUAAAAAGUAAAAUUAAAAUUUUAAUUUAAUAGAUUUAAAUAUUUUGUUGGGGAGACAGGAGUAUAAAAAAUAACUGCUUUAAAGUUUGAGUUAAUAAUAUUUAAUUGAGUGAUCCUUUACUAUGGAUUUUAGAUUAAGUUACUUUAGGGAUAACAGCAUAAUUUCUUUUGAGAGUUCAUAUCGAAAAAGAAGCUUGUGACCUCGAUGUUGAAUUANAGAUCNUUUAUGGUGCAGAAGUUNUNAGA
This 457-nucleotide ribosomal RNA is filed under the name Ibacus alticrenatus. RNAcentral describes it as "partial 16S ribosomal RNA". It matches the Rfam family "Bacterial large subunit ribosomal RNA", at positions 1862 to 2570 of the family's 2925-position model. Lineage: Eukaryota; Metazoa; Arthropoda; Malacostraca; Decapoda; Scyllaridae. The record is from RNAcentral.